RNAcentral lists this non-coding RNA (150 nucleotides) under Anaerocolumna aminovalerica. RNAcentral's name for it is "Lysine riboswitch". It matches the Rfam family "Lysine riboswitch aptamer", at positions 4 to 156 of the family's 182-position model. Rfam says of the family: Riboswitches are metabolite binding domains within certain messenger RNAs that serve as precision sensors for their corresponding targets. Allosteric rearrangement of mRNA structure is mediated by ligand binding, and this results in modulation of gene expression. The record is from RNAcentral. Lineage: Bacteria; Bacillati; Bacillota; Clostridia; Lachnospirales; Lachnospiraceae.
UGAGGUAGAGGCGCAAUAUUUAACAGUCCUUAGUGGAGCGUGAGGAAGCUAUGAUUCUAAGGAGAAGGAAAUAUUGCCGAAGCUUAUAAUAUACCCUCUAUAUUAUUUGCUGGGUCUGCAGUUAAGAGCUGCAGGACUGUCUCAAUAGAC